This 254-nucleotide ribosomal RNA is filed under the name Oxyrrhis marina. RNAcentral describes it as "partial Bacterial large subunit ribosomal RNA". It matches the Rfam family "Bacterial large subunit ribosomal RNA", at positions 715 to 969 of the family's 2925-position model. The record is from RNAcentral. Lineage: Eukaryota; Dinophyceae; Oxyrrhinales; Oxyrrhinaceae.
CCGAAACCAGGUGAUCUACCCAUGGCCAGGAUGAAGGUGCGGUAACACGCCCUGGAGGUCCGAACCCACUAAUGUUGAAAAAUUAGGGGAUGACCUGUGGAUAGGGGUGAAAGGCCAAUCAAACUUGGAAAUAGCUGGUUCUCCGCGAAAUCUAUUUAGGUAGAGCGUCGUGUAUUACCGCCGGGGGUAGAGCACUGGAUGGGCUAGGGGGACGCGAGUCUUACCAAACCUAACCAAACUCCGAAUACCGGUGA